This 253-nucleotide ribosomal RNA is filed under the name uncultured bacterium. Its description in RNAcentral is "partial 16S ribosomal RNA". It matches the Rfam family "Bacterial small subunit ribosomal RNA", at positions 524 to 776 of the family's 1533-position model. The record is from RNAcentral.
UACGUAGGGUGCAAGCGUUGUCCGGAAUUAUUGGGCGUAAAGAGCUCGUAGGCGGUCUGUCGCGUCGGACGUGAAAAUCCAGGGCUCAACCCUGGACCUGCGUUCGACACGGGCAGACUAGAGUUCGGUAGGGGAGACUGGAAUUCCUGGUGUAGCGGUGAAAUGCGCAGAUAUCAGGAGGAACACCGGUGGCGAAGGCGGGUCUCUGGGCCGAAACUGACGCUGAGGAGCGAAAGCGUGGGGAGCAAACAGG